Lycium barbarum (goji berry) is the source of this 862-nucleotide long non-coding RNA. RefSeq lists it as uncharacterized. Lineage: Eukaryota; Viridiplantae; Streptophyta; Magnoliopsida; Solanales; Solanaceae. The record is from RefSeq and is a predicted model, not a curated record. The transcript has 3 exons.
UUUAUAGUGCAAGCGUGCAAAAAGUUUGCCAGCAAGCACCACUAAGUAUGUACUUAUUUAUUAAAAUAGCAAAUCAACAUAUGAGGCUACAUUUCAUUUGGAUACUAAUCCUUGUGAGGAACAAGACACCAAAAACGUACAACAACCUCCCUAGAUUCAUCAAGCAAUGCAUAGCACAAAUUCAUACGUAUUGCAAAAACGUUUUCGGCCCUUUAAGGAAAACAAUAUUCCAUUCUUGUUCAAGAAUUAGUAGGAGCAAGAGUUGUUCUUGGAGAGCUCAAGUAAAUGUUGUUGAUGAAUAUAUCAAGUGAGGUAUGAUGUCCUCUCCUACAGUUGCAAGAUUAAAUCAGCAACGUGAAUUCUUUUGGCAAGCAUCAACGUGUUUUAUUCUAUUUUAGGCGGAUUGGAGGUUUCUUCGAACUGAAGAAAGGUGGAAGAAGAGUAGUUAACGGAAUAUAAGGCUAAAAGAGCGACGAGACGAACGAGUUACGAAUAGCCGCUAACAGGUACAGACGCACAGUUUGGUGAUCCACCAGUUUAGGACACCCUCUUUCGCUGUUUGGAGUGCUCAUCUUAUUCCGGAGCCUACAUUUUGGUAUAUAUACUUGUUUGAUGCAUAUGUAUAUAUUUGUUCAGGGGUACGGCGGGGCCCUGUUCCGCCAUAUGAUCUGUUUGGUCUGUUUAGAGGUCUGUAGACGUAUUUGUGGGUGUGUGUGCCUACUUCUGUACAGAUGUGUUUGUAUGACCCUGUUCGUUAUGGCAGCCUUGUCGGCGUGCACUUUGUAUAUGUUUUGGGCCGUUGCGCCAUCUGUUAGCCUUGCCGGCUUUUUGAUAUAAGUAUAUGUAUAUGUUUGCGUUGAAA